UGAACACACAUGCAUUCACAUACAUAUACACAAGGGCUGUAGAUAAAUUAUAUGUAUGAUUAUUUAACCUGUCAGUGAUCAGUGUAUGGUAAAGUUACUGUGAAAACUCUCGAUAAACAUUUGCUGCUUUAUUUCCAGUCUGUAAUUAAAAGUAACUUGAAAAAACACAUUUCACCAGCACUUUUUACUGGAAAACCCCAGACAGACAGACCAAAUAGUUAAGACCAGUUGAUACCCCCUGUUUUUACCCUCUUUUUUGAACAAACACCAGGAUCCUUUCCUAAAGACAAGCUCUGCUUUACAUAUAUAUUUUAAAAAGAAAAUGAAUCACAACUGAUCUAGUAAUCACAGUGAAAAAAAAAAGACCUGUCACUAUUGUGGUGGUCUUUCACUUCCUGAACUGUUGUCUCUCAACCACGUCUCUCAGUUAACCACACUUCACUGACGUCAGCAAUCAGCCAAUAUAAAACGCUGGAGGCAUAAACAGACGGUGGUCAUAAUGAUUCCUCUUACGUUUUCCUUGGCGGUUAUAUUCUUACUGAAUAUUUGGACUAGUGGAUAUGCUACAAGCUGUGGGGCUAAUCAGACUGAUAUCAAUGGACUUUGUUGUGACUUAUGCCCACCAGGUACGUACAUGAAGGAUUUCUGCACAGUCAACAACCCAACUGUGUGUAGUCCCUGUAAUGAGGGAUACUUCUCAGACAAAUUCAUCAUCUUUGACAGAUGUCAGGAAUGCCAGAUAUGUCAACAGGAAUAUGCUGAGAAAUGUACGCCUACGAUGAAUGCAAAGUGUUCAUGUCGCUCUGGUUUCCUGUGUUCCGACAACAUCUGUUCAACUUGUGAGGAAAAUAAAUGUGUCACAGGGGAGAAAGUGAAUAAGACAGCCAUUCCCACAGGUGGGGGAUUGGUCAAGUAUUCAUAUCAGUGUGAGCCUGCCUGUGCUGAUAAUACAUAUUUUGACGUGAAAGAAGAUAAGUGCAAAGCAUUUACACAGUGCAGUGCAUUUAGACUUCAGGAAAGAUUUCCAGGAAACAAAACCCACAACUCAGUUUGCAGUGUAUAUGCAGGUAUGCAGGACAGUGACUCCCUUCAAGUGAUUUUUGGCAUCGGCUUUGUUUUACUCUGUUUCUCUCUCCUUGUGUUUGUAUUUCAUGCCUGUACAAAGAACCUAAGGAAGCACAAAGCAAACAAAAAUCCUAUCUUACCAGUCUCUACCAACAUUAGUGACUUUCACCUGUCAAAAGAGGAGAGUGGAAUCCAGCUUGUCAUUCAGGAUGAAUCCAAGGACUGCAAUACUUCUGGUGAACUGUAUCUGGGAAAAGAGACCACACACUAAAAAAAAAAAAAACUAAGAUCACAUGAAGAGUGCAAAAGCAGUAUCAGCACAUAUUUAAAUAUGCAGAGAAAUCUGUGAAGGUCAGGGGUGCAGGCUUGUGAUGGUCCCUGAAGGUGGAACAUGACUACUGCUGCUUAGGUUCCUGUGGCCAAGGCACUAUGAUUGUUGCUGCACCCAGAUGUCAAUGUGUGAAUGUUUAUGAAUCUUGCAAAAGAAUCUGAACAAUGAGAUGAUUUUACUUUUCUCAGGAACAUAACUUUUUUUGAUCAUCUGAUCAUGGGUGGCAGAGUGGGCCACUGGGACUUUACAACAGGCAUGGGUUUGUUUGGUUGGUUCAUUCUGCUGCAACCAAAAAACAACUUUGUGUAUGUUUUAAAUAUCAAACAAGCAAAGAAGCUAACAAAAUGAAAAAAAAAAGCUAGGGUAAGAUGCCCCUAUAACAGAACUUUGUGUAAACUGCUGUUUUUAAAUGUACAUCAUGAUACAUACUGAAAUAUACUCAGUUUUGGCGUAUAAUGGUGUAAUGGUAUAAUUGUAUUGUAUAUUUUUUCAGAGUAACUUUACUAACAAUAAAUAAAUAAAAUCAUGUAAAACAUACCUCCUUGGGCUUCUUGUCCAAGGAGGCUGUAGAAUGAACUGUUUUGCUGUUUUUAUGUGUUAUAUGCAUCAAUGUACUCAUACUAAUAUUUAUAAAUAUUUUGAUUUAUUACUUUCACUAUAUAAGCUUGAAGGCUUAUACUAUUAUUAUUUUCUACAAUGCACCAAUCUGCUGCCAGUGUGUCAUGUGCCUUUUAUAGAUUAAUAAUUUUAUUCAGAAAAUGUCAUAAACCAUGAGUUUUAAAAAUAGGACAAAGAAAACGGACUCAAAACAUGUUUU
Molecule: long non-coding RNA, 2213 nt
Filed under: Mastacembelus armatus (zig-zag eel)
Lineage: Eukaryota; Metazoa; Chordata; Actinopteri; Synbranchiformes; Mastacembelidae
Description: lncRNA (ENSMAMG00000028666.1)
Source: RNAcentral